RNAcentral lists this unclassified non-coding RNA (391 nucleotides) under soil metagenome. RNAcentral describes it as "partial contains 5.8S ribosomal RNA, internal transcribed spacer 2, and large subunit ribosomal RNA". The stretch from base 1 to 122 matches the Rfam family "5.8S ribosomal RNA", at positions 35 to 154 of the family's 154-position model. The record is from RNAcentral.
GAUGAAGAACGCAGCGAAAUGCGAUACUUGGUGUGAAUUGCAGAAUCCCGUGAACCAUCGAGUCUUUGAACGCAAGUUGCGCCCGAAGCCACUAGGCCGAGGGCACGCCUGCCUGGGCGUCACACGCCGUUGCCCCCCCAUCUACUCCUUCGGGAUUGCGGGGGGGCGGAUGAUGGCCUCCUGUGCGCCUAGCCGCGCGGUUGGCAUAAAUACCAAGUCCUCGGCGACGCACGCCACGACAAUCGGUGGUUGCGAAACCUCGGUUGCCCGUCGUGUGCGUUCGUCGCGCAUCGAGGGCUCGAAAAAAUGCUCGGCUCCGGCUGGGCUUUCAACGCGUCCCCAGGUCAGGCGGGGUUACCCGCUGAAUUUAAGCAUAUCAAUAAGCGGAGGA